Molecule: ribosomal RNA, 674 nt
Filed under: Arthrobacter sp.
Lineage: Bacteria; Bacillati; Actinomycetota; Actinomycetes; Micrococcales; Micrococcaceae
Description: bacterial SSU rRNA
Rfam family: Bacterial small subunit ribosomal RNA
Source: RNAcentral
CUACUCCUACGGGAGGCAGCAGUGGGGAAUAUUGCACAAUGGGCGCAAGCCUGAUGCAGCGACGCCGCGUGAGGGAUGACGGCCUUCGGGUUGUAAACCUCUUUCAGUAGGGAAGAAGCGAAAGUGACGGUACCUGCAGAAGAAGCGCCGGCUAACUACGUGCCAGCAGCCGCGGUAAUACGUAGGGCGCAAGCGUUAUCCGGAAUUAUUGGGCGUAAAGAGCUCGUAGGCGGUUUGUCGCGUCUGCCGUGAAAGUCCGGGGCUCAACUCCGGAUCUGCGGUGGGUACGGGCAGACUAGAGUGAUGUAGGGGAGACUGGAAUUCCUGGUGUAGCGGUGAAAUGCGCAGAUAUCAGGAGGAACACCGAUGGCGAAGGCAGGUCUCUGGGCAUUAACUGACGCUGAGGAGCGAAAGCAUGGGGAGCGAACAGGAUUAGAUACCCUGGUAGUCCAUGCCGUAAACGUUGGGCACUAGGUGUGGGGGACAUUCCACGUUUUCCGCGCCGUAGCUAACGCAUUAAGUGCCCCGCCUGGGGAGUACGGCCGCAAGGCUAAAACUCAAAGGAAUUGACGGGGGCCCGCACAAGCGGCGGAGCAUGCGGAUUAAUUCGAUGCAACGCGAAGAACCUUACCAAGGCUUGACAUGAACCAGACCGCCGCAGAAAACUGUGUUUC